This 472-nucleotide ribosomal RNA is filed under the name uncultured bacterium. Its description in RNAcentral is "bacterial SSU rRNA". It matches the Rfam family "Bacterial small subunit ribosomal RNA", at positions 28 to 507 of the family's 1533-position model. The record is from RNAcentral.
GAUGAACGCUAGCUACAGGCUUAACACAUGCAAGUCGAGGGGCAGCGCAGUGUAGCAAUACAUGGGCGGCGACCGGCGCACGGGUGCGUAACGCGUAUCCAACCUUCCCGUUACUCUUGGAUAGCCUUCCGAAAGGGAGAUUAAUACAAGAUGGUAUUCAAAUUCCGCAUGUUAUUUGAACUAAAGAUUUAUCGGUAACGGAUGGGGAUGCGUGACAUUAGGUAGAUGGCGGGGUAACGGCCCACCAUGCCCACGAUGUCUAGGGGUUCUGAGAGGAAGGUCCCCCCACACUGGAACUGAGACACGGUCCAGACUCCUACGGGAGGCAGCAGUGAGGAAUAUUGGUCAAUGGUCGGAAGACUGAACCAGCCAAGUAGCGUGAAGGAUGACAGCCUACGGGUUGUAAACCUCUUUUGUCCGGGAAUAAAACGGGGGACGUGUCCCCCUUGAAUAAGCCACGGCUAACUACGUG